UUCCUACGGGCGGCUGCAGUGGGGAAUAUUGCACAAUGGGCGCAAGCCUGAUGCAGCGACGCCGCGUGGGGGAUGACGGCCUUCGGGUUGUAAACCUCUUUCAGUAGGGACGAAGCGCAAGUGACGGUACCUACAGAAGAAGCACCGGCCAACUACGUGCCAGCAGCCGCGGUAAUACGUAGGGUGCGAGCGUUGUCCGGAAUUACUGGGCGUAAAGAGCUCGUAGGUGGUUUGUCGCGUUGUCCGUGAAAUCUCACAACUCAAUUGUGAGCGUGCGGGCGAUACGGGCAGACUGGAGUACUGCAGGGGAGACUGGAAUUCCUGGUGUAGCGGUGGAAUGCGCAGAUAUCAGGAGGAACACCGGUGGCGAAGGCGGGUCUCUGGGCAGUAACUGACGCUGAGGAGCGAAAGCGUGGGGAGCGAACAGGAUUAGAUACCCUUGUAGUC
RNAcentral lists this ribosomal RNA (447 nucleotides) under uncultured Mycobacterium sp. RNAcentral's name for it is "bacterial SSU rRNA". It matches the Rfam family "Bacterial small subunit ribosomal RNA", at positions 336 to 795 of the family's 1533-position model. Lineage: Bacteria; Bacillati; Actinomycetota; Actinomycetes; Mycobacteriales; Mycobacteriaceae. The record is from RNAcentral.